Molecule: ribosomal RNA, 253 nt
Filed under: uncultured Opitutus sp.
Lineage: Bacteria; Pseudomonadati; Verrucomicrobiota; Opitutia; Opitutales; Opitutaceae
Description: partial 16S ribosomal RNA
Rfam family: Bacterial small subunit ribosomal RNA
Source: RNAcentral
UACAGAGACUGCAAGCGUUAUUCGGAUUCACUGGGCGUAAAGGGUGCGCAGGCGGCCGUGUGUGUGAGGUGUGAAAGCCCGGGGCUUAACCCCGGAAAUGCGCCUCAAACUACACGGCUAGAGCAUUGGAGAGGGUAGCGGAAUUCAUGGUGUAGCAGUGAAAUGCGUAGAUAUCAUGAGGAACACCAGAGGCGAAGGCGGCUACCUGGACAAUUGCUGACGCUCAGGCACGAAAGCGUGGGGAGCAAAAGGG